CACCUUGAAGGGAACUUUCCAUGUCAAAGACUCUAACUUGCUGGGAUUGAGUCACUCUUCAAGAACAUACAAAGGCAGGAUAUGCAGACAUUUUGGAAAAAGUACUUGAGACCUCAGUGGUUGCAAGAACUCCUUGACCAGUGUUUCCCAAAAUCUGUUCCUUGAUAUAUCCCUAUUCGGCAAGAGCCAUGAGGAUGAAGAUUUAUCUGCUGGAAUCUCCAGUGUCUGGACCCGGCACAAAAUUCGUUUUUCUCCUGGUUUCAAGAUUCUACAGUAAUUCCAGACGUGACAUCAUCCAGACAAGAAAAUGUUUAGAGGAAGAAGAAACCAUUUUCUGUCUGUAUCUUUGUUAAAGCAAGUUAACUUUUCCUAGCUGCCCCCAACAGACUUUUCUUCAUGGUUCAGUGGCCAGAAUUAUCAUUUGCCCUGAACCAAAGACACCUAAAGUGCGUAGAACCACUUUGAUUGGCUUGGAACAUCAUUGUCAACUCCCUCAACCUCCAUCCCUGGGCUGGCCCGGGGACCAGCCUUCCCUAGACACAUGGCUCUCCGGACGUGGUUGUUUAUACUAACAAAACCAAGUCUGUGAGGAAGUAAGAGCGGAAGAAAAGAAUGUUAAAGAGGCACCCAACAGUAAUGCUACAUGGAAUGGAUUUUCUAAAUACUAAAAAAUUAAAAGUGCAUUUAUGAUGAGAAUAGAACCUUAGGUUCCAGGACAAAUUCUCAAGAGAACUUGGAUCCAAGUAAAGUAAUUUUUGACACUUCCUCAUCACCUCCCUCACAGAUGACCCUCUCCUCCCUCACAAAUACCAAUCCCCCUCCCAAUGUUUCACCUUCAAGCUAACCUCUAGUUGCCCGGGAUUCCCAAGAUGUCUCAUUUAGAC
This is a long non-coding RNA of Homo sapiens (human), 884 nucleotides long. RefSeq lists it as uncharacterized. The transcript is spliced from 3 exons. NCBI's taxonomy places the organism in Eukaryota, Metazoa, Chordata, Mammalia, Primates, Hominidae. The record is from RefSeq and is a predicted model, not a curated record.